GACGAACGCUGGCGGCGUGCUUAACACAUGCAAGUCGAACGGAAAGACCCGGUCUUUGUGGGGCGCUCGAGUGGCGAACGGGUGAGUAACACGUGAGUACCCCGCCCUUGACUUUGGGGUAACUUCAGGAAACUGGGGAUAUUAUCGGAUAGGAGCUCCUGCUGCGUGGUGGGGGCUGGAAAGUUUCGGCGGUUGGGGAUGGAGUCGCGGCUUACCGGCUUGUUGGUGGGGUAGGUGCUUACCAAGGCAUCGAGGGGUAGCCGGCCUGAGAGGUGGACCGGCCGCCUUAGGACUGAGAGAGGGCCCAGACUGGUAUGGUAGGCAGCAGGGGGGAAUGUUGCACAAUGGGCGGACGCGUGAGGCAAGAACGCCGCGUGCGGGAAAACCGCUUUCGGGUGGAAAACCGAUGUCUCCUGUAACGAAGGGUGCUUGACGGUAAUGGGUAAAAAAGCCCCGGCUAACUACGUG
Molecule: ribosomal RNA, 468 nt
Filed under: uncultured bacterium
Lineage: Bacteria
Description: partial 16S ribosomal RNA
Rfam family: Bacterial small subunit ribosomal RNA
Source: RNAcentral